AAGCUUAUAGCUCAGUUGGUUAGAGCAUACGCCUGAUAAGCGUAAGGUCGGCAGUUCAAGUCUGUUUGAGCUUA
This 74-nucleotide transfer RNA is filed under the name SAR324 cluster bacterium. Its description in RNAcentral is "tRNA-Ile". It matches the Rfam family "tRNA". Rfam says of the family: Transfer RNA (tRNA) molecules are approximately 80 nucleotides in length. Their secondary structure includes four short double-helical elements and three loops (D, anti-codon, and T loops). The record is from RNAcentral. Lineage: Bacteria; Deltaproteobacteria.